Molecule: ribosomal RNA, 468 nt
Filed under: uncultured bacterium
Lineage: Bacteria
Description: partial 16S ribosomal RNA
Rfam family: Bacterial small subunit ribosomal RNA
Source: RNAcentral
GACGAACGCUGGCGGCGUGCUUAACACAUGCAAGUCGAACGGAAAGGCCCUGCUUUUGUGGGGUGCUCGAGUGGCGAACGGGUGAGUAACACGUGAGUAACCUGCCCUUGACUUUGGUAUAACUUCAGGAAACUGGGGCUAAUACCGGAUAGGAGCUCCUGCUGCAUGGUGGGGGUUGGAAAGUUUCGUCGGUUGGGGAUGGACUCGCGGCUUAUCAGCUUGUUGGUGGGGUAGUGGCUUACCAAGGCUUUGACGGGUAGCCGGCCUGAGAGGGUGACCGGCAACAUUGGGACUGAGAUACGGCCAAGACUCCUACGGGAGGCAGCAGUGGGGAAUAUUGCAAAAGGGGCGGAAGCCUGAUGCAGCAACGCCGCGUGCGGGAUGACGGCCUUCGGGUUGUAAACCGCUUUCGCCUGUGACGAAGCGUGAGUGACGGUAAUGGGUAAAGAAGCACCGGCUAACUACGUG